RNAcentral lists this ribosomal RNA (1121 nucleotides) under bacterium IPMFA24. Its description in RNAcentral is "bacterial SSU rRNA". It matches the Rfam family "Bacterial small subunit ribosomal RNA", at positions 43 to 1153 of the family's 1533-position model. The record is from RNAcentral.
UUGGGGCUACCAUGCAAGUCGGGCGGUAGCACAGAGAGCUUGCUCUCGGGUGACGAGCGGCGGACGGGUGAGUAAUGUCUGGGAAACUGCCUGAUGGAGGGGGAUAACUACUGGAAACGGUAGCUAAUACCGCAUAACGUCGCAAGACCAAAGUGGGGGACCUUCGGGCCUCAUGCCAUCAGAUGUGCCCAGAUGGGAUUAGCUUGUAGGUGAGGUAACGGCUCACCUAGGCGACGAUCCCUAGCUGGUCUGAGAGGAUGACCAGCCACACUGGAACUGAGACACGGUCCAGACUCCUACGGGAGGCAGCAGUGGGGAAUAUUGCACAAUGGGCGCAAGCCUGAUGCAGCCAUGCCGCGUGUAUGAAGAAGGCCUUCGGGUUGUAAAGUACUUUCAGCGAGGAGGAAGGCGAUAAGGUUAAUAACCUUGUCGAUUGACGUUACUCGCAGAAGAAGCACCGGCUAACUCCGUGCCAGCAGCCGCGGUAAUACGGAGGGUGCAAGCGUUAAUCGGAAUUACUGGGCGUAAAGCGCACGCAGGCGGUCUGUUAAGUCAGAUGUGAAAUCCCCGGGCUCAACCUGGGAACUGCAUUUGAAACUGGCAGGCUUGAGUCUUGUAGAGGGGGGUAGAAUUCCAGGUGUAGCGGUGAAAUGCGUAGAGAUCUGGAGGAAUACCGGUGGCGAAGGCGGCCCCCUGGACAAAGACUGACGCUCAGGUGCGAAAGCGUGGGGAGCAAACAGGAUUAGAUACCCUGGUAGUCCACGCUGUAAACGAUGUCGACUUGGAGGUUGUUCCCUUGAGGAGUGGCUUCCGGAGCUAACGCGUUAAGUCGACCGCCUGGGGAGUACGGCCGCAAGGUUAAAACUCAAAUGAAUUGACGGGGGCCCCCACAAGCGGUGGAGCAUGUGGUUUAAUCCGAUGCAACCCGAAAAACCUUUACCUGGGUCUUGACAUCCCCGGAAUUUACAAAAAAUGCUUUAUUGCCUUCCGGGAACCGUGAAACAGGUGCUGCAUGGCUGUCCUCACCUCGUGUUGUGAAAUGUUUGGGUAAAUCCCCCAACGAAGCCAAACCCUUUUCUUUUUUUGCCACCGGUUCAGCCCGGAACUCAAAGGAAACUGCC